AAAAAGAGAGGAAAGGAAGGUGGUCUAAGGGAUAUAACUGCAUGUAUGUUUGAGUGUGUAGGAUGGAAAUCCAUGUUACUGAACUUUUGUUGAUCAUUGAUCAGUACUGUCUGCAAUCUCACUGUAUGAAUGUUCACUUUACAUGCUAUUUCAAAGAUGAUGAUAAUAUGUAACCUAUUGACUAGUGAUAGCUUACUGUAUUUUUUCCUUGAAAUUCUGUAUUAUUUGUACCCUUUUACUGCUUGGUUUUUUUAAUUUUAUUUCCUUUCUUUUUUUCUCUCUUUAAGUAAAAAAAAAGAUAUUAUGCUAAGUGAAACAACCAUACACAGAGGGACAAAUAUUGUGUGGCCUCCCCAAUACAGGAGUCUUUCAAGUUGGCAUCAUAAAGGCAGAAUCCAUAAUUGGAACCCAAGAGAAACAAAGCGUUGGACACUAGAUGUUUCUGGGAAAAUGUAGAAGCCUCUUACAUUCGUGCCGAGGGGCAGAGUUGGACAAGUUAAUGAUACAGCUUUUCUCUUAUCUAAGCAACUGUUUCACUCAAGCCACCUUGUUGCUAUGGCCCCCACUCACGUCCACAGAGCCGCAGCUCUUGAAUCUUUAUGGAAUAUGAGAAAAUCCUGCCUUUUCUUUGAAGGGCAUAGGGCCACAGAUGUGCAAGCAUUUUCUCAAGAUACAACAGCCGAACUGCAGAUCUAAGCAGUGAUGAGAGGGCUAUGUCAGUACUGACCGUGGGAUUGCAAAGGGUGGUGUCCAGGGAGCUUCCUUCUUGCCAGACUGACAAGAAGAUAAAGAGUAGCAGAAAGUGCAGAAUAUCCAUCUUCCUUCCCCACUCCGAGGACAGGCCGGGCCCAUGGAUAAUUCUUAGAUGGCAUAUUUUGUCCUCGGUCAUCACCCUCAAAAUGUUGCCAGAAAAAGUUGGUUUUUACUUUCAAUAUUAAGUUAAAUCUGAAGUCCAGCUCUUCCCCACAACUUUUCUAAGAAGUUUGCACUGUCAAAGCUCUUGAGUGCAUUUAAAAGAGAUUUCCAAAACAUUUAUCCCCGCUUUGUAGUUUCUUUUACUGCGUGUACUGACUCAGUGACCUUGUCUCAGCAUCCACUUUGGACCCAUGGUGGACUCUCUGGGCUCAACCAUCAAUCCCUUCCCAAUGCUGUGAGAUAUUAUUGCAAAUGUUGCCAAGGACCAUCUUGCUGCCAACCAAUACAUAUUUUAUUUGACUGCAUGGUUCUCUAAUAUUUCUUCUCUUUCUCCAAAUAUUCUUUGCCAAUAUUGGAUGCCAGCAACCCCUGCUUUGCAGAAGCCUGAAUUCCCUCAGGGUUCUGUCCUGGCUUUUUCUUUGUCUCUGCACUCUUCCACAUAUGUGCUUAUGAAUUCCUUUGCCUUUAGGAAUAACUUAUAUGCUAAAGAUUAAUAAAGUGUUUGCCCCAGA
This is a long non-coding RNA of Cavia porcellus (domestic guinea pig), 1427 nucleotides long. RefSeq lists it as uncharacterized. The transcript has 2 exons. Lineage: Eukaryota; Metazoa; Chordata; Mammalia; Rodentia; Caviidae. The record is from RefSeq and is a predicted model, not a curated record.